Long non-coding RNA from Tarenaya hassleriana, 1625 nucleotides. RefSeq lists it as uncharacterized. The transcript has 4 exons. The record is from RefSeq and is a predicted model, not a curated record. Lineage: Eukaryota; Viridiplantae; Streptophyta; Magnoliopsida; Brassicales; Cleomaceae.
ACUGUGCUUAAUGUCUAAUUUACUGUCUUCAUAGCCUUAUUACUUGGUUGUAUGUCCAGGUUGAUCUUGGAUCACUACAAGAUACUGUUCCUAUAGAUAGAAUCGUGGUCUUGCAAGGCGGUUGGAGUUCUUUUGGGAAGGGAUCUGCAGGGGAGAUUCUACUUCGGCUUACAUACAAAGCCUAUGUGGAGGAUGAAGAAGAUGACAUAACUGAUGUGAAACACAUCGAUGCCGAUGUUUCUGAUGAUGAACUGCCUGAUUCUGAAGAAGUUGGCUCAUUUGUGUGGAAUGAAAAGAUUUCUUCAGAUGAAUCAGGCCAAGAGUCAUUUAUGGAUGUGCUGUCUGCACUGAUAGUGAGUGAGGAGUUUCAGGGCAUAGUUUCAGGAGAAGCGGCAAACAGUAAACUUUCUAAUGGCUACUCAAGUGUUGUACCUGUAUCUUCAGGAUCUCAGGUAGUCUCAAAAAAUCUACCUGUAGAUCCAGGUAAUGCAUCUGAAAGCAAUAUGAGCAUAUCAGAUUCAGAAUCUGUUGCUGCAAAUUCUGAUAAAGAUUCUGAUGAUGGAGGAUUAGCUUUAUUAUGGUUUGGUGUAAUCACAAGCAUACUGGUGCUCAUUGCUGUCAGUAUGAGCGGCUCAAAUUUCUUCAACCCAUAAAAACGGUGUUGUAUUACUUGUUUGCUUGCUACUUCAGAUUUCUGUUGCCCAAGUCGGUUAAUGUUAUCUUCUCAAUCUCAGAGACAGCUUAUAAAGAGGUUCAAUUUGGUUUUACAUGCUAACGCUGUUGUAUGCAUAGUCAUUAGAACGGGGACACUAUGCAUUGGCGGAAGGAAAUUUUGGAUCUAUUUUCUCCGAUCCCCUAAAACUGUGAUACCGUGUAUACCUGUGAUUACAUGAGAGAAAAUCACUUAGUAAUCUUGUUGAAAUAUAGUUCUCACAAUAAAAAAUUAUGUUUUCCAUAACACAGCCGAAAGGUUCAUUGAGAAGCACGAGCUUGAGAAAAGUAUUUUCUCGAAAUUCUCAAUACGACGCAAAACUUUUGGAAGCAUUUAUAUUUUCUUGUGUUUUUUAGUUUUUCUGUUCAUUAGAUAAAGCAACCAUGAUCUUGUACCUUGGAUCAACUACAAUGGAACAACUAAAGUUGAUGGAGACUGCUAUGGAAGUAUAAAGAGGAUUUUGGUGGGUGUGCAAAAGUGAUUCAUAGAGUUGGAUAUCGGUAGAACCUACCCCACAAUAGGUUCAAUUAAAUCCUUUUUAAGGUUUACAUAUAGAGCUCACCCCGAGAACUAGUUUGUCGAGGGUGAGUGCCCAUAGUAUUUGUAAGGCAUCGACCAAUUUACUCGAUGCGUUGGUGAAUCCCUGGUCGGUAGGUGCUUAGAUUGUUUAGCGGCUCUCUACCCUUUGAUCACGUGUUCCGUUUCCAUCGUUUUCAAGUUCCGAAAUACGCCCAUAAAACCUCAGUUUUACGUUACUCGGUUAAUAUUCUUGGUUACUCUUUAAGAGCUCUCUUGUUGUUCUACCACUCGUAGAAUUUGGUGUUUUGAUCUUGCGUUCUUGUAAUGUAAUCCCAAGUUCUUCGCGAUGUAACUUUACUUGCAUUUGUGCUUUUGAUAUUCAUCUGUUGCUGAC